GCUUACGGCCAAACCGGCCUGAGUACGCCUGAUCUCGUCCGAUCUCGGAAGCUAAGCAGGGUCGGGCCUGGUUAGUACUUGGAUGGGAGACCGCCUGGGAAUACCAGGUGCUGUAAGCU
This 119-nucleotide ribosomal RNA is filed under the name Oncorhynchus mykiss (rainbow trout). Lineage: Eukaryota; Metazoa; Chordata; Actinopteri; Salmoniformes; Salmonidae. The record is from RNAcentral.